Long non-coding RNA from Polyodon spathula (Mississippi paddlefish), 357 nucleotides. RefSeq lists it as uncharacterized. The record is from RefSeq and is a predicted model, not a curated record. The transcript is spliced from 4 exons. Lineage: Eukaryota; Metazoa; Chordata; Actinopteri; Acipenseriformes; Polyodontidae.
CUUUCACACCACUGGUAUUACUGUGCUUUACACAGAGCCUAAUGCCUGCUGCAGGGAUGUGGGUCAUUAUCUUCACUGAUUGCUUUUGCUAAACAGUCUCCUGUGUGUUUGCAGCUCCAGAGUCUGCUCUGAACGUGGGGUUUGUUGCUGGUGGUGUGCUGGCUGCUCUGGGUCUGAUCAUCGCAGUGAUCAUAGGAGUUCACAUCUGGAAGAAAAGAGCAUCAGGUGCCAGGAGCCCUGACUACACAGCAGCGCAGACAAAGGAACAAAGUGAUGCUUCAUCCAGCUCCACCAGCGACGACAGGUGUGACCCUAUUGCAGAGAAGCUGAUGACACAGAAAGAGAAUAUACAACUCA